CAACACCGCGUGAGGGAAGACGGCCUUCGGUGUAAACCUCUUCAGGAGGGACGAAGGCCGGCCGGUAACAGCCGCGCCGGCUGACGGUACCUCCAGAAGAAGCUCCGGCUAACUACGUGCCAGCAGCCGCGGUAAUACGUAGGGAGCAAACGUUGUCCGGAAUCAUUGGGCGUAAAGCGCGCGUAGGCGGCCCGAUAAGUCCGCUGUAAAAGUCAACGGCUCAACUGUUGAAAGCCGGUGGAUACUGUCGGGCUAGAGUACGGAAGAGGCAAGUGGAAUUCCUGGUGUAGCGGUGGAAUGCGCAGAUAUCAGGAGGAACACCCAUAGCGAAGGCAGCUUGCUGGGACGUUACUGACGCUAAGGCGCGAAAGCGUGGGGAGCGAACAGGAUUAGAUACCCUGGUAGUCCACGCCGUAAACGAUGAGAACUAGGUGUGGGAGGUGUCGACUCCUCCCGUGCCGUCGCUAACGCAUUAAGUUCUCCGCCUGGGGAGUACGGCCGCAAGGCUA
Molecule: ribosomal RNA, 509 nt
Filed under: uncultured Actinomycetes bacterium
Lineage: Bacteria; Bacillati; Actinomycetota; Actinomycetes
Description: bacterial SSU rRNA
Rfam family: Bacterial small subunit ribosomal RNA
Source: RNAcentral